UACGUAGGGAGCAAGCGUUAUCCGGAUUUAUUGGGUGUAAAGGGUGCGUAGACGGAGAAGCAAGUUAGUUGUGAAAUCCCUCGGCUUAACUGAGGAGCUGCAACUAAAACUACUUCCCUUGAGUACUGGAGAGGAAAGUGGAAUUCCUAGUGUAGCGGUGAAAUGCGUAGAUAUUAGGAGGAACACCAGUGGCGAAGGCGACUUUCUGGACAGUAACUGACGUUGAGGCACGAAAGUGUGGGGAGCAAACAGG
Molecule: ribosomal RNA, 253 nt
Filed under: uncultured bacterium
Lineage: Bacteria
Description: partial 16S ribosomal RNA
Rfam family: Bacterial small subunit ribosomal RNA
Source: RNAcentral